This 468-nucleotide ribosomal RNA is filed under the name uncultured bacterium. Its description in RNAcentral is "partial 16S ribosomal RNA". It matches the Rfam family "Bacterial small subunit ribosomal RNA", at positions 28 to 507 of the family's 1533-position model. The record is from RNAcentral.
GACGAACGCUGGCGGCGUGCUUAACACAUGCAAGUCGAACGGAAAGGCCCUGCUUUUGUGGGGUGCUCGAGUGGCGAACGGGUGAGUAACACGUGAGUAACCUGCCCUUGACUUUGGGAUAACUUCAGGAAACUGGGGCUAAUACCGGAUAGGAGCUCCUGCUGCAUGGUGGGGGUUGGAAAGUUUCGGCGGUUGGGGAUGGACUCGCGGCUUAUCAGCUUGUUGGUGGGGUAGUGGCUUACCAAGGCUUUGACGGGUAGCCGGCCUGAGAGGGUGACCGGCCACAUUGGGACUGAGAUACGGCCCAGACUCCUACGGGAGGCAGCGGUGGGGAAUAUUGCACAAUGGGCGGAAGCCUGAUGCAGCAACGCCGUGUGCGGGAUGACGGCCUUCGGGUUGUAAACCGCUUUCGCCUGUGACGAAGCGUGAGUGACGGUAAUGGGUAAAGAAGCACCGGCUAACUACGUG